AUAAUCCAAGUUUUGUUAGUAGCUGCUGUGUUUCUGCUGUUUUAUUUUUAACAUAUAAAGAAUAGUAUCCCAGAAGACUCUGGAGCUCCCGAAAGUUGGGCAGGUGUCUUAAUUUACUCAUUAGGAUAAGCUACUAGUUGAGGAAGUUAUUCAAUACCAUUUUCCCAGGAAGAGGCAGCUCAGAGGAUGAAGUGAACACUUUUCAUAUUCUUCUCCAAAAUGUGAGUAGCUGUUCCAAAGACCUAAUGCGCUUGCUGUCCAGCAGUUGACAGCUGCUCAGCAGCAGCAGUAUGCACUGGCAGCUGCUCAUCAGCCGCACAUCGGUUUAGCUCCCGCUGCGUUUGUCCCCAAUCCAUACAUCAUCAGCGCUGCUCCCCCAGGGACGGACCCCUACACAGCUGGAUUGGCUGCAGCAGCGACACUAGGCCCAGCUGUGGUCCCUCACCAGUAUUAUGGAGUUACUCCCUGGGGAGUCUACCCUGCCAGUCUUUUCCAGCAGCAAGCUGCUGCUGCCGCUGCAGCAACUAAUUCAGCUAAUCAACAGACCACCCCACAGGCUCAGCAAGGACAGCAGCAGGU
RNAcentral lists this small RNA (579 nucleotides) under Pan troglodytes (chimpanzee). Its description in RNAcentral is "processed transcript". Lineage: Eukaryota; Metazoa; Chordata; Mammalia; Primates; Hominidae. The record is from RNAcentral.